GAAAGGAAAUAGGAUAAUUAAGUGCUAUAUUAUUUAAAAUUGAGGAAAGUUCUUCCUUUUCUUCAUCCUCAAACAGCCGACUUUUUCCUCAAAAGAAGAACAAUCAUUUCCUUCUUUCAAGCUAAUUUCAAAGAGAAAUUUCAAGUGAUAGCUCCAAUAUCUUGAAGGAAAAAGGUGAAUUUCUUCGAUUAUCUGUUUUCCUACAAUUCUAGCUUGAAGAAAAAUUAUUCUUUCAAUUCUAGGGCUUUCGAAAAAUUUGGGGAUUUAAUGUUAGAGUUGAAGUAUGGUCUUAAUAUCGAGAUAUAUUAUGUUUUUGAUGUUCCUAAGCCGGAUUAUGGUGAUUAAUUGUGUUAAUUGUUACUUAAUUUUGAUUUUGCCCAAGUUAGCGUAAACCCUAUGUUUGAGUUUGAAGAGUUGUGAUAAGUUCUUGAAUAAUUGAGUUCAUAUAUGUGUUCUUGAGGUGGAAUUAUGUCAUAUAUGAAUAAAUUAUGAGUUUACACCACAUAGUUUGUGAGAUUGAUUUUGUUAGUUUAGGGAAAAUUAGGGGUUUUGAGUUAAGAAGGUUUAUAUGCUAUUAAUUGAUGGAUAUAGAUAUACUAUGAUGUGAUUUUAUCAACUAUGGAAAUUAGAACAGCCCUAUUACAUCAUUUUUUNUUAAGUUCUAAUGUAUGGAAAAUUGUUAUAAGACUUGUUAUGCUAUAACUUGUUGGCUUUGUUGUGUUAAACAUGAGUUAAGUUUGAAGUUAAAGCAUUCUAGUAUGUAUUAUGAUCAUGUAUUUGAGUCUCUACACUUUUUAUUUGGCCAAAGUAUGAGUUAUGUGUUGAAUUGAAACAAAAGAUGCAUUGCUGUCAAUUUUUAGCUUGACAGAACAAUGUCUUGCGGGAUGAUUUUGAUGAUGUUCCCAUAGUCCAAAUAAUUUGAAAUUUUUACUGUAAUAACUUUAUCAUGAGUAGUACGUUUCUGCAAAAUUUCAGCUAAAUCCGAGAUCAUUAGAUGUGUCAAACGAGUUUCUGAAAUGUACUGCGCGAAGCAGCAAAGUUCAGUGGCAGAUUCUGCCUUUUGUGAUAUAACUUCUCAUACACUUGAUGUAUUGUAUUUUAGUAACUUUCUAAUAAAAAUAGACUUUGAGUGAUUUCUAAAAAUGUGAAGCUUGUAUUUUUCUUUAAAGAGGUUGAUUUUAUAUGAUAUUUCAAAGUUGAGAUUCAUAUAUGAUUACAUAUUUGAAGUUACUUUUUUUUUACUUGGGGGAGUUGGGGAGGGGGAGCAGUGGGGUUUGAACCCGGGACCUCACUGUUCACACACAGGAGAUCGCACCGCUUGAGAUUUGACCCAUAUUUAAGUUACUUACUUGGAUAGUUGAGUAAAACCAUGCUUAAGUCAUUGGUCAAUUCUUGAAUUGAUGUUUUAGUUAUUAAUUGUAAGCUAAUCUAUAUAGAAUGGAUUAGUUUACUCUUAUACUUUUUCAACUUGAGAUAUCCCAAGAGAUAUGAUGUUAUUGUUUGCUUUUAGUUAGUUAAGUCCAUAUAAGUAGAAUACUCAGAUUAGAGGAUCCAACUUUCAAGUGAUAAAAGUUUCAUUCAAGAUUUACUUUCUAUUUACUUACUUAUUAUCCAAUCUUACCUGGGAACCUCAUUAUAAUGAAGGUUCGAGUGGCAGUGUAGAGUGAACAAGCAAGGACUUCUAUUUCAUUAAGCGUGUCAGGUGGGCUUACUAACUCAAGAGAUAAAGAUACAUACUUUACUAUACAAAGUUUAAGUGUAUGCAUUUAUUUUCAAAUUAUUGACUUGCCAAUAUUUGAGAUUUGUAUGAUAACAUCUACAUAGAAGAACGAAUUCAGGUCCUGAGCGAGUCAGGAUUUGUGUACACAGAGUUGACAGUUAACCUUUGAGUUAGCUUGUCAUUGUGUUUGAGAAGAAGGCCUACUUCUCAACACUUAAAGUUAUAUGAUGCGUAGAUAUGGUACAUACAUGUUAUUUGUGUCACACCCCAAUUCUUGAAACAAUAUAUAACUAUAACUGGGGUACGACUCAUCAUUUAAAAUGAACAAUGGAAAAACCUUGUGAAAUCUGAAUAAAAGGGAUAACAAUCGGGCUUAGCCCAUUUUUCAGAAGAAAGACAGGUAUUCAAGUGAUACGAAUCAAUCAACAAGCAUAAUAACUUCAGGAUCACAAGUUUAGUGUCAUGCUUCUGAUAACCAACAUUUAUAGAAUGAAGUACUUGCGAAUUAAAAGUCUCGGCUCAACAAAAGAUAUUGUUUAGAGUCACAACAUAAAGGUCUUAAGUUAAGGAAAACAAAAGACAUAUAUUGGCUAGUUCUACAGCGGAAGUCAAAACACGGAGUUGAACCCUAGCCUCAGCUCACCCCAUCAGCACCAGCCGUUAACCUAAAAAAUAUUUGAAGAUAUUUGGGCUAAGUACUAAUGUACUUAGUGGGCUGCAACUUUUGAAACAUUUCAUAAUCUGAAGGCAGUUUAUCUAAUCAUACUUGACAUGACUUAGAAGGUUUUUAAAGUGAAAGAACUUCUAAGCAUGUUAAAACAUUUCAUUAUAUAUAUAUGCUUAAUUUGCGCGCAGUUGUCACACUCAUUUCUGUUACUCGCUAUGAUCCCGGACCUUUUAGCCACCGACGGAUCCAUUUUCUCCCAUUUACUUGAACUGAGGGCGUAACCCAGACAAGUUUCUUUUGACCUCGGGACGCUACCCAGGCAGGCCCUUACAUUACAUGCUUCGGAACACAUCCAGCAAGCACCCUUAUAACGCCUCUUAGUUAGAGCCCGAUGGAGAUCAACCCACCGAGUCAGCUAACGGUGUACACAAUUCUCAAAUAACGUGUUAGGCUAUAAGAGAACCUCAAUUGAUUCGUUGUGGCGAGCCUUAAACAGAGCAGAGUGCACAUAAACAUUUUAUUGGAUAAACAAUUUAUAUAUCACGAACAUUUAAGGUCAUUAGCUCAAUCAUACAUUUGGAAAGUAAGCCCACCUAUUUAAGCAAAGCCUGUCGUUUAACCUUAUCUCUGAAUCGAAAAAGCAGUGCUAAUCCUCUUGAUUUUCAAGGCCUACAAGAAAUCUAUUCUUAAUAGGUAUCUUAAAUCUAAACUCAAGUCACGGUAAAGUGCUUAACAUUCUAUGAUUCACUUAGCCGGGUUUUCAAAAUUUAAUGGAUAAAUAAUUGAAAACAAUUCUGUUGAGUUAAGAACACCAACAAUAUUCUUACUCGACUUUCUUUUGUAAUUGAAAUUAUAAAUAACCAAUUAAAUCAUGAUGCAAUGCAUGACUCAUUUCAUACUCAAGCAUAUAAUAAGUGUUUACCUAAAAUAUGUACAUAAUAAUAAUAUAAUAUCAUUAUGCAAAUUAUUCUUUAAAUAAAUUAAUCAAACUAAGUAAGUCUAAUUAAUUAAAAUAGGGCAGCCCAAAUAAAUAAGAAGAAUCAAGCCUGAUCAUUUAAAAUAAAUCUCGGGGAUUUGGAGGAAGCGAACAGAAGAAGGAAGAAGGAGCUAGAAGAAUCUGAAGAAAGGGAAAGGUUGACCACAGCAAGCAGCUGGAAGCUAUCUUCAAUCGGAUCAAUCAAGGAUUGAGCUAAAGAAGGAAAGAAGAUCUCGAUGAAGAUAUGAAGCUGGCGCAGCUAGGGUUAGACCUUUACCAUUCGACAGUAUAAAAGGAGGAGGAUGUGCAGCGUGAAUGGCUUCUUGGCACUUUUGAACUCCCGUUUUAUUUAGUUUUACUACUCUAAUUCCGCCGCGUGUGGCAUCCAAAACAAUUUAUAUUCCAGUACUGUUUCCUAUUUCAGUUGUGUUUUCAUUCGAACAAGAUUCAAGGCUCGAGGCCGUAGGUAUCAUUUCUAUUAAUCAAGUAUUUUCCUUUUGCU
RNAcentral lists this long non-coding RNA (3865 nucleotides) under Salvia miltiorrhiza (redroot sage). RNAcentral describes it as "long non-coding RNA (SMIL_LNC009286)". The record is from RNAcentral. Lineage: Eukaryota; Viridiplantae; Streptophyta; Magnoliopsida; Lamiales; Lamiaceae.